GCGCUGCCUUUGAGCUCCCGGCGCUCCUCCACGUGGCGCCGGGGGUUAAGCUGCGGCGCCAUAUCAUAUUGCUAGCGCAUAACUGGGGCCGCCUGCCCAUCGCGGACGGUCCUUUUAACUGCUAGCUACAGAU
Small nucleolar RNA from Myodes glareolus (Bank vole), 133 nucleotides. Lineage: Eukaryota; Metazoa; Chordata; Mammalia; Rodentia; Cricetidae. The record is from RefSeq and is a predicted model, not a curated record.